GCCAGCCAGGAAGGAGGAGGCAGCCAGAGAGGCCUCCACUGUUCUCUGCAGCAGAAGACCCCCUGCUGCCAGAGGCGGAUAGGAUAUCGCAUGCAAGGCACUCUGCUGACACCAUGAAUUGCAGAGAUGCUGGUUUCGGAAUCGGAAUGAAGAAAGCUGCACCCUCCACAGGCGUUAAAUCUCCACUCGGCAUCUCCUUCUAUUCACAAACAGCAAGAAUAGCUAUGAAAUGGUGAAAAAUGCAGCCGAGUCAUUUUGAGAAUGAUUGUAUGAGAUGCCACAUCUAAGCUGGUAGAGGGACUCACCCUGAUCUAGCCAAGAUCAAGUCAUUCCCAGGGAUUAUAUUGAAGAUGAGAAAAGGUCAACAAAAGUUUAAGUACUCUUCUUGUUAGCUGCUUUUAUUCACAGUUGCAUUUACAUUUGAUGUAUGUAUCAUGGUUUAGCCAAAUAAACAAGCUGCACAUUAUUCCAUUA
Hemicordylus capensis (graceful crag lizard) is the source of this 474-nucleotide long non-coding RNA. RefSeq lists it as uncharacterized. Lineage: Eukaryota; Metazoa; Chordata; Lepidosauria; Squamata; Cordylidae. The record is from RefSeq and is a predicted model, not a curated record. The transcript is spliced from 3 exons.